CAGCUGCAAUGAAACAAUGGGAGAGGGGCAUCAAGAACAUACGCAAGAAUGUGGCUGAAAUGAUGGAAUGCGGAAUCUAAGCUGCAUGGAUAAGGAAGAUUAUCGGGGAACCUGCCCCGUUAGUCACGGAUGUUCCUUGCUGAGAAAAAGAAUUCAGCGAUAUUUCUCCCAUUUGCUUUUGAAAGAAGAGAAAUAUGGCUCUGUUCCGCCUGGCUCACCGGAGGUCAGAGUUUAAGGUUAUCUCUCUUGUUUCCUAAACAUUGCUGUUAUCCUGUUCUUUUUUCAAGGUGCCCAGAUUUCAUAUUGUUUAAACACACAUGCUCUACAAUUUGUGCAGUUAACGCAAUUAUCACAGGGUCCUGAGGCGACAUACAUCCUCCUCGGCUUACGAGAUGACAGGAUUAAGAGAUUAAAGACAGGCAUAGGAAAUCACAAGGGUAUUGACUGGGGAAGUGAUAAGUGUCCAUGAAAUCUUCACAAUUUAUGUUUAGAGAUUGCAGUAAAGACAGGCAUAAGAAAUUAUAAAAGUAUUAAUUUGGGGAACUAAUAAAUGUCCAUGAAAUCUUCAAAAUCCACGUUCUUCUGUCAUGGCUUCAGCCGGUCCCUCCGUUUGGGGUCCCUGACUUCCCGCAACAGAAGAUUAUAUGGUUUGGAUCUGUGUCCCCACCCAAAUCUCAUGGUCAGUUGUAAUCUGCAAUGUUGGAGGUGGGGACUGGUGGGAGGUGACUGGAUCAUGGAGGUGGGUUUCUGAUGAAUGUGUAGCACCACGCUCUUGCCGUGAGUUAUGAGAUGUGGUCAUUUUAAAAAGUGUGUAGCACCUCCCCCUUUGCCCUCUUGCUCCUGCUCCCACCAUGUGAGAUGCUUGCUCCCCCUUCACCUUCUGCCAUGAUGGUAAGCUUCCUGAGGCCUCCCCAGAAGCAGAUGCCAGCAUUAUGCUUCCUGUACAGCCUGCAGAACCACAGCCAAUUAAAGCUCUUUUCUUAUAAAUUA
This is a long non-coding RNA of Pan troglodytes (chimpanzee), 990 nucleotides long. RefSeq lists it as uncharacterized. NCBI's taxonomy places the organism in Eukaryota, Metazoa, Chordata, Mammalia, Primates, Hominidae. The record is from RefSeq and is a predicted model, not a curated record. The transcript has 2 exons.